UACGGAGGAUCCAAGCGUUAUCCGGAUUUAUUGGGUUUAAAGGGUGCGUAGGUGGGAGAGUAAGUCAGAGGUGAAAGCUAGCAGCUUAACUGUUAAAUUGCCUUUGAUACUGCUUUUCUUGAGUAUAGUUGGCGUUGGCGGAAUGUGACAUGUAGCGGUGAAAUGCGUAGAUAUGUCACAGAACACCGAUCGCGAAGGCAGCUAACGAAGCUAUCACUGACACUGAUGCACGAAAGCGUGGGGAGCAAACAGG
This 253-nucleotide ribosomal RNA is filed under the name uncultured bacterium. RNAcentral describes it as "partial 16S ribosomal RNA". It matches the Rfam family "Bacterial small subunit ribosomal RNA", at positions 524 to 776 of the family's 1533-position model. The record is from RNAcentral.